GCUGGGCAUGGUGGCGCAUGCCUGUAGUCCCAGCUACUCUGGAGGCUGAGGCGGGAGAAUUGCUUGAACCCGGGAGGCAGAGGUUGCAGUGAGCCAAGAUCGCACCACUGCACUCCAUCCUGGGUGACAGAGUGAGACUCCAUCUCAA
RNAcentral lists this non-coding RNA (148 nucleotides) under Nomascus leucogenys (northern white-cheeked gibbon). The record is from Rfam by way of RNAcentral. Lineage: Eukaryota; Metazoa; Chordata; Mammalia; Primates; Hylobatidae.